Molecule: transfer RNA, 67 nt
Filed under: Crocidura grayi (Luzon shrew)
Lineage: Eukaryota; Metazoa; Chordata; Mammalia; Eulipotyphla; Soricidae
Also listed under: 1 other name
Description: tRNA-Cys
Rfam family: tRNA
About the family: Transfer RNA (tRNA) molecules are approximately 80 nucleotides in length. Their secondary structure includes four short double-helical elements and three loops (D, anti-codon, and T loops).
Source: RNAcentral
GUCCUGUGGUGAAAAAAUCAUAUUGAAUUGCAAAUUCAAAGAAGCAGCUUCAAUUCUGCCGGGGCUU